UACGGAGGGGGCUAGCGUUGUUCGGAAUUACUGGGCGUAAAGCGCACGUAGGCGGCUUUUGCAAGUUAGAGGUGAAAAGCCCCGGGGCUCAACUCCGGAAUUGCCUUUAAAACUGCAUCGCUAGAAUUGUGGAGAGGUAAGUGGAAUUCCGAGUGUAGAGGUGAAAUUCGUAGAUAUUCGGAAGAACACCAGUGGCGAAGGCGACUCACUGGACAUGUAUUGACGCUGAGGCGCGAAAGCGUGGGGAGCGAACAGG
This 256-nucleotide ribosomal RNA is filed under the name uncultured bacterium. Its description in RNAcentral is "partial 16S ribosomal RNA". It matches the Rfam family "Bacterial small subunit ribosomal RNA", at positions 524 to 776 of the family's 1533-position model. The record is from RNAcentral.